Molecule: long non-coding RNA, 540 nt
Organism: Oncorhynchus keta (chum salmon)
Lineage: Eukaryota; Metazoa; Chordata; Actinopteri; Salmoniformes; Salmonidae
Exons: 3
Source: RefSeq, a predicted model, not a curated record
UAGGACACACAACCAGUAGGACACACAACCAGUAGGUCACACGUCAGUACAUACACACAACCAGUAGGACACACAACCAGUAGGACACACAACCAGUAGGACACACAACCAGUAGGACACACGUCAGUACAUACACACAACCAGUAGGACACACAACCAGUAGGACACACAACCAGUAGGUCACACGUCAGUACAUACACACAACCAGUAGGACACACAACCAGUAGGACACACAACCAGUAGGACACACGUCAGUACAUACACACAACCAGUAGGACACACGACCAGUAGGACACACAACCAGUAGGACACACAACCAGUAGGACACACGUCAGUACAUACACACAACCAGUAGGACACACAACCAGUAGGACACACAACCAGUAGGUCACACGUCAGUACAUACACACAACCAGUAGGACACACAACCAGUAGGUCACACGUCAGUACAUACACACAACCAGUAGGACACACAACCAGUAGGACACACAACCAGUAGGACACACAACCAGUAGGACACACAUCAGUACAUACACACAA